RNAcentral lists this unclassified non-coding RNA (343 nucleotides) under soil metagenome. RNAcentral's name for it is "partial contains 5.8S ribosomal RNA, internal transcribed spacer 2, and large subunit ribosomal RNA". The stretch from base 1 to 120 matches the Rfam family "5.8S ribosomal RNA", at positions 35 to 154 of the family's 154-position model. The record is from RNAcentral.
GAUGAAGAACGCAGCGAAAUGCGAUAAGUAAUGUGAAUUGCAGAGUCCAGUGAAUCAUCGAAUCUUUGAACGCACAUUGCGCCCGCCAGCAUUCUGGCGGGCAUGCCUGUUCGAGCGUCAUUUCAACCCUCGACCUCCCUUUGGGGAAGUCGGCGUUGGGGACCGGCAGCACACCGCCGGCCCUGAAAUGGAGUGGCGGCCCGUCCGCGGCGACCUCUGCGUAGUAAACCAACUCGCACCGGAACCCCGACGUGGCCACGCCGUAAAACACCCAACUUCUGAACGUUGACCUCGAAUCAGGUAGGACUACCCGCUGAACUUAAGCAUAUCAAUAAGCGGAGGA